Molecule: ribosomal RNA, 481 nt
Filed under: alpha proteobacterium BAC183P
Lineage: Bacteria; Pseudomonadati; Pseudomonadota; Alphaproteobacteria
Description: bacterial SSU rRNA
Rfam family: Bacterial small subunit ribosomal RNA
Source: RNAcentral
GAUCGCGGUUCCAGAGAUGGUUCCUUCAGUUCGGCUGGAUCGCACACAGGUGCUGCAUGGCUGUCGUCAGCUCGUGUCGUGAGAUGUUCGGUUAAGUCCGGCAACGAGCGCAACCCACACUCUUAGUUGCCAGCAUUCAGUUGGGCACUCUAGGAGAACUGCCGAUGAUAAGUCGGAGGAAGGUGUGGAUGACGUCAAGUCCUCAUGGCCCUUACGGGUUGGGCUACACACGUGCUACAAUGGUGGUGACAAUGGGUUAAUCCCUAAAAGCCAUCUCAGUUCGGAUUGGGGUCUGCAACUCGACCCCAUGAAGUCGGAAUCGCUAGUAAUCGCGUAACAGCAUGACGCGGUGAAUACGUUCCCGGGCCUUGUACACACCGCCCGUCACACCAUGGGAGUUGGGUUUACCCGAAGUUGGUGCGCCAACCUGUAAAGGAGGCAGCCAACCACGGUAGGCUCAGCGACUGGGGUGAAGUCGUAA